Molecule: ribosomal RNA, 178 nt
Filed under: uncultured bacterium
Lineage: Bacteria
Description: partial 16S ribosomal RNA
Rfam family: Bacterial small subunit ribosomal RNA
Source: RNAcentral
ACUCCAUGAAGCUGGAUUCGCUAGUAAUCGCGCAUCAGCCAUGGCGCGGUGAAUACGUUCCCGGGCCUUGUACACACCGCCCGUCAAGCCAUGGGAGUCGGGAGUGCCUGAAGUGCGUGACCGCAAGGAGCGUCCUAAGGCAAUACCGGUGACUGGGGCUAAGUCGUAACAAGGUACC